GACAGAGGGUGCAAACGUUGUUCGGAUUUACUGGGCGUAAAGCGCGUGUAGGCGGCUUUGCAAGUCGGGUGUGAAAGCCCAGGGCUCAACCCUGGAAGUGCAUUCGAUACUGUGUAGCUAGAGUCCCGGAGAGGAUGGUGGAACUCUCGGUGUAGAGGUGAAAUUCGUAGAUAUCGGGAAGAACACCGGUGGCGAAGGCGGCCAUCUGGACGGUGACUGACGCUGAGACGCGAAAGCGUGGGGAGCAAACAGG
Molecule: ribosomal RNA, 253 nt
Filed under: uncultured bacterium
Lineage: Bacteria
Description: partial 16S ribosomal RNA
Rfam family: Bacterial small subunit ribosomal RNA
Source: RNAcentral